UAAAAAAUUUUGGCGGUAUUUUAAGCUUAUUAGAGGAAUUUGCUCUGUGAUGGACACAACGCCUUAAUCUUACUUAAUUUAGUAAUUUAAAUCAGUUUGUAUACCACUAUAUUAAUUAUAUUGAAUAGUUAUAUUUAAAAUUUUUUUAAAAAAAUAUAUUAAGUCAAGGUGCAUCUAAUAAUUAUGAAUGAAGUGAAUUACAUUAAUUUUAAUGUAAUUUUUUACAUGAAAAAAUUAAUUAGGAUUUAAUAGUAAAAUACUAAUAUUAUGAGUAUUUGAAUCAAGCUCUAAAAUAUGCACAUAUCGCCCGUCGCUCUCAGAAGUGAGAUAAGUCGUAACAAACUAAAAAUACUGGAAAGUGUUUUUUAAAAUGAAAUCAUUUGAUGUUUCAUUUACAAUGAAAAUUUUGUUGUUUAACCAUUUUAA
Molecule: ribosomal RNA, 426 nt
Filed under: Ixodes scapularis (black-legged tick)
Lineage: Eukaryota; Metazoa; Arthropoda; Arachnida; Ixodida; Ixodidae
Description: partial 12S ribosomal RNA
Source: RNAcentral